GUUCUGGGACAGUUCAGUCAGCAGAGCAUGAGAUUCUUAAUCUCAUGGUUGUGGGUUCGAGUCCCAUGCUGGGCA
RNAcentral lists this transfer RNA (75 nucleotides) under Podarcis lilfordi (Lilford's wall lizard). RNAcentral's name for it is "tRNA.Lys". The stretch from base 11 to 67 matches the Rfam family "tRNA", at positions 9 to 63 of the family's 71-position model. Rfam says of the family: Transfer RNA (tRNA) molecules are approximately 80 nucleotides in length. Their secondary structure includes four short double-helical elements and three loops (D, anti-codon, and T loops). The record is from RNAcentral. Lineage: Eukaryota; Metazoa; Chordata; Lepidosauria; Squamata; Lacertidae.